RNAcentral lists this ribosomal RNA (152 nucleotides) under uncultured Hyphomicrobiales bacterium. Its description in RNAcentral is "uncultured Rhizobiales bacterium partial 16S ribosomal RNA". It matches the Rfam family "Bacterial small subunit ribosomal RNA", at positions 355 to 524 of the family's 1533-position model. Lineage: Bacteria; Pseudomonadati; Pseudomonadota; Alphaproteobacteria; Hyphomicrobiales. The record is from RNAcentral.
UGGGGAAUAUUGGACAAUGGGCGAAAGCCUGAUCCAGCCAUGCCGCGUGAGUGAUGAAGGCUUUAGGGUUGUAAAGCUCUUUCAGUAGGGAAGAUAAUGACGGUACCUACAGAAGAAGCCCCGGCUAACUUCGUGCCAGCAGCCGCGGUAAU